GCUCCGGUAGUGUAAUAGAUCAGCACGGCAGACUGGUUAUCUGUAAGUGUGAAUUCGAGUCCUACCUGAGGUU
This 73-nucleotide transfer RNA is filed under the name Dictyocaulus viviparus (bovine lungworm). It matches the Rfam family "tRNA". Rfam says of the family: Transfer RNA (tRNA) molecules are approximately 80 nucleotides in length. Their secondary structure includes four short double-helical elements and three loops (D, anti-codon, and T loops). Further hydrogen bonds mediate the characteristic L-shaped molecular structure. tRNAs have two regions of fundamental functional importance: the anti-codon, which is responsible for specific mRNA codon recognition, and the 3' end, to which the tRNAs corresponding amino acid is attached (by aminoacyl-tRNA synthetases). tRNAs cope with the degeneracy of the genetic code in two manners: having more than one tRNA (with a specific anti-codon) for a particular amino acid; and 'wobble' base-pairing, i.e. permitting non-standard base-pairing at the 3rd anti-codon position. The record is from Rfam by way of RNAcentral. Lineage: Eukaryota; Metazoa; Nematoda; Chromadorea; Rhabditida; Metastrongylidae.